Molecule: unclassified non-coding RNA, 3188 nt
Filed under: Limulus polyphemus (Atlantic horseshoe crab)
Lineage: Eukaryota; Metazoa; Arthropoda; Merostomata; Xiphosura; Limulidae
Description: serrate RNA effector molecule homolog, transcript variant X6
Source: RNAcentral
ACGUAAGUUUUAUCUCUCUAAGCAUUCUGGGUACAUUUUUGCCAACUUGUAAGAAAGAAAAUUCGCGGGUAUUGUCGAAGUAAACAUAAAUAUAAUGGCAGACAGUGAUGAUGAGUAUGAUAGACGCAGAGGGCGUGACAAGUUCAGACGAGAACGCAGUGACUAUCAAGAUAGAAGAGAUGAAAGAAACAGAAGAGAUGAAUGGUCAGACAGGUUUGUGAGAGAAUCUUGGCCAGGACGAGAGCGGGCCCGCAGAGAUUAUAGGGAUGGUUAUGACCCUCGUCGACGAGAACGGUAUAGUCCUCCACCUCGACAUGACAUGAGUCCACCAAUGAAACGAAUGAGGAGAGAAUGGGACGACCCACGAGGCUAUGGUGGAUAUGGAAUGGGUUAUCCAGGAGGUGUAGGAAUGAUGGGUGGUCCCCCUGGUGGGGGCUGGGGGGGUGGAAUGCCCCCAGAAGAUAUAGGAAUGAUGCAUGGACAACACGGGUACGGUGGCCACCCUGGACCCCCGAGAGAUGAACCUGGUGCAACACAGCCACCUAUGAUGACGUUCAAGCAGUUUUUAGCAGCUCAGGAUGAUAACAUUGGUGAUCAGGAAGCCAUUAAGAAGUAUAAUGAAUACAAACUUGACUUCAGGAGACAACAGAUUAAUGAGUUUUUUAUCAGCCACAAAGAAGAGGAAUGGUUUAAGUCUAAAUAUCAUCCUGAAGAAUGUGGUAAAAGAAGAGCAGAUCAAUUAUUUGCAUUGAAACGGCGUUUGGAUGUCUUUAAAGAGCUUUUCCAAAAAGGAUGGGUUGAUGCUGUUAGUAUAGAUGUAGAGAAGUCUGAUCAGAUUAUACGUUUACUUGAUGCAGUUGUGAUCAAACUUGAAGGAGGUUCCGACAAUGACUUAAAUGUUUUGGAUGAACCUUAUGAAGAAGAAGAGAAACCCAAAGAACCAGAGCCUUUCAUUUUGGGUGACAGUGACAUCAAAGAGGAGAAAGAUAAAGAAGAAAAGGAUCUUUCUAAGCCAUUACAGAUGACCAUCUCAUCUGAACAGAAAGAACUACAGAAAAAAGCUAAGGAGUAUUUGAAGAAUAAGCAGAAGAAGAGAACAGAUGAAAAGAAAAGAAAGCGAUCACUUGACUCUUAUAGUUUUGAUGAAGAUGAGGAAGAUAGCAGUGAAGAAACGGGAAGCGAAUCAGAACCAGCCCCACCAGGUCUUGAAGAUGAAGCCACUGCAGAACAGGGAGACACCAAGGCUAAACCAAAGAAGAAGAAAACGAAAAAAAAAGUAGAUCCUAAAUACAGUUCUGAAAGCAGUUUAAGUAAAGAUGAGGAUGAAGAUGAGUUGGAAGAGAAUGAGAAAAGAGUAGAAAAACCAGGUGACAAACAAGGUAGUCCCGAAGCAGAACAAAUUGAGGAUAACCAAGAUAAUGAUAAAAAUGAAGAUGGAAGUUUAAAUGAAGAAGAAGAGGAGAAGAAACCUGAAGAUGAAGUGGAAAGCAAGAAAGAUGAACCAGCAAAGGAUGAUGGACCUCCAAAACCAAGACCUCUUCAUAAAACAUGUUCCAUUUUUCUUAGAAACUUAGCUCCUACAAUAACAAAGCAAGAAGUAGAAGCUAUGUGCAGAAGGUACCCAGGUUUUCUUCGAGUGGCUAUUGCAGAUCCACAGCCUGAUCGGCGUUUUUUUAGGAGGGGGUGGGUAACAUUUGAGAGGUCAGUGAAUAUCAAAGAAAUCUGCUGGAACCUCAACAACAUUCGGCUUCGUGACUGCGAAUUGGGGGCUAUUGUUAAUCGAGAUCUAAGUAGAAGGAUUCGUUCUGUGAAUGGAAUAGCUUCUCAUAAGCAAGUGGUUCGAUCAGACAUCAAGCUAGCUGCCAGAAUCAUCCAGAACUUAGAUGGUCAAAGAAACCUGUGGGAUGAAGGGGAACUCAAAGAAGAGCCUGAAAAACCAACAUUUGGUCUUGCAUCCAAAAACCCAUUGCUAAAGAACAUCACAGACUACCUGAUUGAAGAAGCAAGUGCUGAGGAGGAAGAACUACUAGGGACAUCUGGACAAGAUGAGAGACGAGAUCAAGAAGAGGGAGGUUCUACAUUGGAGAGAGAUGACACAUUGAUUAAGGUAUUGGAUCGAUUGCUGCUCUACUUGAGAGUGGUUCACUCAAUGGACUACUAUAACCACAGUGAGUAUCCUAGUGAAGAUGAAAUGCCCAACAGAUGUGGAAUCAUGCACGCCAGAGGCUCGCCACCUUCCAGUAAAGUCACACAACAAGAAAUUAUUGAAUACAUUAACAGCUUUGAACAAAGAGUAACACCGUAUCUUCAACCUGCUAUCAAAAUAUCUGAUGAAGAAUCUGCAAAAUUAGGCAAAAAAGACCCAGAAGCUGAAGUUGAGAAGUUUGUGCAGUCUAACACCCAAGAACUUGCUAAGGAUAAGUGGCUCUGCCCAUUGUCAGGGAAGAAGUUUAAAGGGCCAGAGUUUGUGCGCAAACACAUAUUUAACAAACAUGCUGAGAAGGUGGAUGAAGUAAGGAGAGAAGUGGAAUACUUCAACAAUUACCUUUUAGAUAUCAAGCGACCCCAGCUUCCUGAACACCCGUCCAAUAGGCCUAGUGGAGGGGGUAAUCGGGGGGAAGGUCAUGGAGGACCAUAUCAUGGUGGAGGAUACCCUGGUCCUCCCCCUUUUGGUGGCUAUGGGGGUCCCAGGGGCCCAGGCUUUCAUGGUGGCUAUGGUGGGCCUGGAUUUGGAGGAAGGAGUGGUUACUCUGAAAUGUACAGACAUUCUGGAGGCUUCAAGAGAAACUAUGGACGUGGACAGUCUGAUCCCAGGGAAGUUGUUGGCUAUCAUGAUCUGGACGCACCUCCCGACCUGGAAAUAUUCUAAAAAAUCGCCAUUACUCAAAGCUCGAGUGGUCCGAGUGUUUUUUUACUCAACAUCCAACUAUUUAUAUGACCAGCCAUCAAUAUGAGCUACUUGAUGAUAAGAAGUCCUCGCUCAGAACCAAGAAAAAUCAUCACAUACAGAGACCUUGAUGCACCAACAGAUGCUGACAUCUUGUAGUGAUUGAUAAUCAACUUAAUUCAUUUAUUAUUCUCAUUUCUUAUUUGCUUUUUUAAUAAAAAUCAUCAGAAUCAUCACCAAAUAGCACAGACAUCCCACUGAAAUUGUUUCAAAAAGGUAUUAAAAUUGUUUAGAUAACCAC